GUAGGUGGCAAGCGUUGUCCGGAAUUAUUGGGGCGUAAAGCGCGCGCAGGCGGUUCUUUAAGUCUGAUGUGAGAGCCCACGGGCUCAACCGUGGAGGGUCAUUGGAAACUGGAGAACUUGAGUACAGAAGAGGAAAGCGGAAUUCCACGUGUAGCGGUGAAAUGCGUAGAGAUGUGGAGGAACACCAGUGGCGAAGGCGGCUUUCUGGUCUGUAACUGACGCUGAGGCGCGAAAGCGUGGGGAGCGAACAGGAUUAGAUACCCUGGUAGUCCACGCCGUAAACGAUGAGUGCUAAGUGUUAGGGGGUUUCCGCCCCUUAGUGCUGCAGCUAACGCAUUAAGCACUCCGCCUGGGGAGUACGGCCGCAAAGGCUG
RNAcentral lists this ribosomal RNA (374 nucleotides) under uncultured organism. RNAcentral describes it as "partial 16S ribosomal RNA". It matches the Rfam family "Bacterial small subunit ribosomal RNA", at positions 527 to 896 of the family's 1533-position model. The record is from RNAcentral.